CUCACACACACACACACACACACACACACACACACACACACACACACACACACACACACACACACACACACACACACACACACACACACACACACAGUUCUACAUACAUUUGUGUGGCUGAAUUUUUGGACUGCCACCCCUUCCCCCAUGAAACAGACCCCCCAUGACACGGGUUAGCAUUAACAUAGUAGCAUCUACAGAAGGCCAGGCACCACUCUGAUGAAUAUGGAGGAACAAGGGACCACUAAACAAGAUGCUUCUCCUGAAUAGACCCCUCCUCCAUGACAUGGUGACACGUGCUAGCAAAGUAUCCCCAUUCAUAACAUCUAUAGUGUGGACUACAGUAGACCCUUAACAGCUUCCCCCAAUAGACCCCCCAUGACAGGGACUAGUAGGACAGUAGACUAGCCCCCCCUCCCCAUAUGCUACUGUAUGACUAUGUGGAACUGGUCAACAGAGGCCAUUGUUUGGGUGCUACCCUCAACAGACACCACGGCACCGUGACCCCCUCCCUGUUCCCUCAUCGAGUGUCAGUGUGUCCAGUGUAGUGAGCAGUAAUAUUUGAUAUGUGUAUAUACAGUAUAUAUCAGUGGAGGCUGCUGAGGGGAGGACGAUGAAUAACAAUGGCUGGAACGGAGUGAAUGGAAUGGCAUCAACCCACGUGUUUUAAUGUCUCUGAUACCAUUCCUCCUAUUCUACUCCAGCCAUUACCACGAGCCCACCUCCCUAAUUAAGGUGCCACCAACCUCCUGUGGCAUAUAUACCUCACAUGCAACUCAUAACAAGACUAAGCAAUGUUUAUCUCACUCCAUAAAGAUCAUUAAAAUAUACAAGCAAGCAUUAGGCAAUGAGUUAAUGUAGACUAGCAAGAAUUGGUCUGAGAAUUGUACACUACACAAGUGUUAGCUGAGGGGUUGAAUGAACUACGGACAUCACAGCAUCAGACCUCUUGACUUGUUCGCCUUUAAUGUUCAGUGCAGCAAAGUCUACAUUUACUCAACAAAGUGCCAUUAUCAAAUCACAUUCAUUAACGUCAGGGUCAGAGUUCAAUGCAAUGAUUUCUGUCGACAAAUCACAGAAGCAAACGCAACACUUAAGGGAAGCGGGUGAGAGGAGAAGAGAACGGGUAAUAUUGCUGUACUCCACUAACUCUUAGCCUCUCUCCCCUCCCCCACACACUCUCCCAGUCAGAUUUAGGAAGCACAAAGUCAUGGUAAGUUGCUUUUAUAUUUCAUAUUUUAUUUAUUUGCAGAGGAAAAAUGCACAACGGCCCCCCCCCCGCAGAGCAACUCCACUAACAGUCCCAUGUUUACCGUGCAAUAAAGUCGGCAUUUUGUGUCAACACUGUGCACUGUGAUUGGUUAACAUCAGCAUGAAAUGAACUCUGGAUUGAUUCGGUUCAGUUCCAGUUCUAGAAGGUUUGGCAGAAUCACGACUCUUUGGAGGUGAUGCGUACACAUUACAUUUGUGAUAGAUACACAUACAUUUAGGCGAGUCAUAGAAGAAAUAUCAUGGUGGGUCGCAGUCAAGUCAAUAGUUUAGGUCCCAGUCAAGUCAGUAGUUUAGGUCCCAGUCAAGUCAGUAGUUUAGGUCCCAGUCAAGUCAGUAGUUUAGGUCCCAGUCAAGUCAGUAGUUUAGGUCCCAGUCAAGUCAGUAGUUUAGGUCCCAGUCAAGUCAAUAGUUUAGGUCCCAGUCAAGUCAGUAGUUUAGGUCCCAGUCAAGUCAAUAGUUUAGGUCCCAGUCAAGUCAAUAGUUUAGGUCCCAGUCAAGUCAGUAGUUUAGGUCCCAGUCAAGUCAAUAGUUCAGGUCCCAGUCAAGUCAGUAGUUUAGGUCCCAGUCAAGUCAAUAGUUUAGGUCCCAGUCAAGUCAAUAGUUUAGGUCCCAGUCAAGUCAGUAGUUUAGGUCCCAGUCAAGUCAGUAGUUUAGGUCCCAGUCAAGUCAAUAGUUUAGGUCCCAGUCAAGUCACUAGUUUAGGUCCCAGUCAAGUCAGUAGUUUAGGUCCCAGUCAAGUCAGUAGUUUAGGUCCCAGUCAAGUCAGUAGUUUAGGUCCCAGUCAAGUCAAUAGUUUAGGUCCCAGUCAAGUCAGUAGUUUAGGUCCCAGUCAAGUUACUAGUUUAGGUCCCAGUCAAGUCAGUAGUUUAGGUCCCAGUCAAGUCAAUAGUUUAGGUCCUUCUUUUCAAGAUGUCCUAUCUGUGCCUUUGCUAGCGUCACACUCCCCCUCUCUUUCACACACAGCCAAGCAAGCAAAACAAACAAACAUACAUGCAGCCAUAUGUAAGUUAUCCUGUGCAUUAUCAAUACAUACAUAUAUAUAUAUAUAUAUAUUACAAAAUAUAUGUCACCCUCUCUGUGCUAUAUAAUGGUUGGUUGAUUGAUACUUAAUAUUUGUUCAGUAGCUUCUUCAUCACCUCCAAUACAUCUCAGUAUAAUGUCUGGACAUAAGCUUCUGGCCUCCAGGUUUUACACUGAAGGGGAUUUUGCAUAAUUUGACAGUUGUUCAUCUUUCAUAUGGACUAUGUUCUCUAUAUAUCAUUGAAACCUGCAUAGUACGUGUGUAUACUGGUUUUGUAUGUACAGGAUAAUAUCAGUACACCGAGAAACAACUUUUAAAAACCAUACAAUAUAUUUGAUUGCGUCCCCGUGUGCACACUAGAUCUUUUCAUUUAUGAGUUAAACUUAAAAUGAUUGUGGAUGGAUUAUGUUCAACAUAAAGACAGACAGUUGGAAGAAUGAUACGAAUGUUCAUGAACGUGGAUUGUAGGUGAUUACGAGGUGAUUUUCGCGCCAAAAUAAAUUGAAUCGGAAUUCAAUUUCUUUUGCCACUAAAAUGACUCCAUAAAAGGAGUCCGCCACUUCAAUCAGUUUAACAAGACAUGGAAAUGAAAAAUAAAGCUCCCGUUUCUUAAAAUACAGUUUUAUUUUGUGAAUUUACACUGAUUAGCAACACAUCUGAAAGCAACUCCAUUAUAGAACCAUUUCUAAUAGGAUUUUUGUUCACAGGUCACAGGGAGGGAGGUCUUGGCUCAUUACUUGCAUGCUAAAGCAAUCCUUUCUUUUUUUAUAAGAAACAAAAUGGUGGACAGAGGCAUUAGUUAGUAAAACAAAGGUGCAAAUGGUCGGUAGAUGGGAGAGAAAAGUAAAUAAAAGAACACAAAUGCACAUUCAAUUAAUCUGAGAGCGGUUUGUAAACGCUCGUACUGUAAAUGGUUAAUAAGGAAGGAGAAACCUAGUACUUGGUAAACGGAAAAAACUGAACUGAAAAUCUGUCUGAUAUAAAUGGAAAGAUGAAAAAUAAGAACUGUGUCAAAAAGGAGAAAUGUUAUGGGAAAAAAAGGGUACAAUUGUGAGUAAUUCUAAAAACAUGGUGUGUUGAUGUCAUAGUUCUCCCUAAAACCCCACACAUACACUUUUACAUUUUCUAAAACUCACACACCUCAGCCCUUUUUCCAGCUGUUCAUGUAACUAUGACCAAAAAGCUCAACUCUGCUGUGAGACAGAUGAUAGGGCUAUUUACACAGCUAAAGAUGUGCCCUUCUCCUUUCCUCCUUCCAUCCCCCUCUCCUUCUCUCGCUCCAUCCCCCUCUCCUUCUCUCGCUCCAUUCCCCUCUCCUUCUCUCGCUCCAUCCCUCUCUCCUUCUCUCGCUCCAUCCCCCUCUCCUUCUCUCGCUCCAUCCCUCUCUCAAUGUUCCAAAUCCAAUAGUUCACAUUGCUAGCUGGGAUAUUGGUACAUCUGUAUAUUAACUGUAUUACUCUUUGUCUAUAUGCCACUUAGUCAUCACUCUUCCAUGAUUUAUAUCUUCUAGAGAAAUGACACGAGUUCCAGUUUCCACAACCGACAACAUCGUGAAAGGAGCUGUUGAGAUGCAAAUAAAGAGAGAAACUAAAAAGAGAGGCUAGAGGCUACGCAAACAACGUCUAGACAACUAUGAGCUGUCAAAGUGGUCUUAUGAGCAGUCAUAGGCAUGACAUAAGGGUGACGUAGGCCUAAUGACAAUCCAGGGAGCACUCUUGCCAAAUUUGACGCCCGGGUGCGGGCAGGAUAAGAUUCUCAACCCUUGUCUCAUGAUUUAAAAUAUAGGAGAAAAAUAUAGUAUAAGGCUUAAAAAAAAAGUCACACACAAAAUACACGCCAUAGCAACAACGGCGCCAGUUCCACGCUCAAGGCCCAUGAUUUUAUAUUUUAUAACUGAAGAUACUUUUUGUAUAUUGGGACCUGUUUUAUUUAUUUUCUUGUUUUGAACUGAGAAAUCAUACUUUUUCAAGCGUGACACAAAUCUAUAUAUUUUUCUUCUGAAACAACUCUCCACAACCUAAAGUGUAUCUUCUUUACUCUGCUCCUGCUAUCUACUUUCUUGCUUCUAUAGAUUCUAUUGGUUCUCUGCUUCUAGAAUCUCCUUCAUAGUAGAAACCACCUGCAGCUACAUUGUGUUAAGAGUCCUACCACAGUAAAAGUGCAGCACAAUAAAAUACAAAAUAUAUAGUUAAAAAUCUAUACCCAACAUAUCCAGUUUACAUAUAUCUCAGUUAUAUAGUAUUUUUGUAAUCGGAACAAGAAUAUAAUUUGAGAGAAACCUGCAGGCAACACUAGAGCAACGUAGUCAGACAUAUAAAUUCAGAUUCUUGCAAAAACAUGCGUAACCUCUUGUAUUUCUCUGUAAAAGUAUAGAAAUGAGCACAAAACUGAGU
Long non-coding RNA from Salvelinus fontinalis (brook trout), 4686 nucleotides. RefSeq lists it as uncharacterized. The record is from RefSeq and is a predicted model, not a curated record. The transcript has 2 exons. NCBI's taxonomy places the organism in Eukaryota, Metazoa, Chordata, Actinopteri, Salmoniformes, Salmonidae.